UCUCUUUGCUUCUCUUGCAGCACCAAUGUUUACACCUUCCCCCUACUUAUGCGAUAUUUAUUUUGUAACACAAAACAAACAUAUAUUCCUUUUGUACCCAAUUGCAAUGAUCAGUAGCAAGCAGUUUACAUCCCACAACAAGCGCAAUCACAAAACUAAACUGAAAGCCCCGAGAUGAAUAAAUCCAUAAAUAAAAAAUUUCAAGCGGCGAUUUUUCUUUCCAGAAAAGAAAGAGGACUACGGCAACAUUCAAAAUUAGUCCAUCAACUGGGUGCUGUACAAAAUAUGGCAGAUGAGAUGAAUACACCUGCAAAUAAGAUGGGGACAUAAGGUAUGAGCUUACUGAAAUACUAAUGCUGCAAACAACAAGUAUACAAAUUUGCUAUACAUAAAAGUUCAGCACUACAGGCAAAACAAUGCAUAGAAAUCUAGAGAAUGCUUACCUUAAUUUAAACACAAAUCUUUCAAAAUAAUCAAGAAAUAAAGUUGAACCAAUGUGACAAGUCGAGUGAUAUGUAUCUGAGAAUAAAAGGACUGGUAUUCAAAUAAUAAAAGUACGGCCACUAAACCUGCCACAAUAUCCAUCACUUACAUACCACAAACUGUACAAACAUAAGCAUACUACUUUCAUCUAGGAGCUAAUGUAAUAGAGAAAGACAGAUAAAUACAAUAGUUGGCAUGUUGGGAGUUCAUGGAAUCGAGAGUGUAACUACAUUGAACCCAGGGACAGCCACACAUUCAAUAGCUGACAAACAGGAGCAGAAAAACCAAGAGACAAAUCAAAUCAGGCUAAAAAAAGAAUAUUUUCAGUGAAGCUAGUUUACCUAAGGGGGGUUCGUAGGCUGGUGCCAUUGCCUUUAUGAAUAAUUUAGCAUUACUUGUGGUCAUCACUAGAAUGAAGCAAGAACAGAUGCUGCCAAUCACCCUGGUGCAUCAGCUGCAGAAAACCCGAAUCUAGAUACCUGUAUUGAACACCAUAUGCACUUCCUGACUCAUGGCAAGUUUUCAGGAAGAAGACCACCAUCAUAGCUAAGCUAAGCUAAGCUUAGUCACGGUGAUAGUAAACCAAACAUGCUGCAGUCCAGGCACCAAAGAAAUGAACAUCAGGGGAUGCAAAAUAAAAUAUGAAAAUUGUACGUCGCAAAGCCGAAAGGGUGAUGGGUGGAUGCAUCCUUGCAUCAUAUUUGAUGAAGAUGUCCAAGCAAAAUAACUCAGCAACCAUCACAGCUAAGCUAAGCUCAGUCAAAGUGACAGUAAACCGAACAUGCUGCAGUCCGGCCACCAAAGAAAUGAACAUCAGGGGAUGCAAAAUAAAAUAUGAAAAUUGUACGUGAUGGGUGGAUCAGUGGAUGCAUCCUUGCAUCAUAUUUGAAGAUGUCCAAGCAAAGUAACUCAGCAACCUUCUUUGUCUCAUGAUUAAUCUGGACACUAAUUUCAUUAUUUCAGUGGCAUUUGCUUCAGAAAAGAGAUGCUCUCAACCAUAGUGACUCUAUCCUGCAGUCCAGAGCAAAACAAAAAAUCAAAUUAGCUGCUUAUUAAGGCACUGAAAGAUGAAAUUAAGAAGGUCAAUCUAUUGACAGCUGAAUUAAGAGCUAUGUAGUGUACAUGCUCCAGGAGGACAAAAGUAAAGGAGUGUGAGUAGCUACAGCAGCAUUUUACCAGCACCAAUUUAUUGAACAUAGUUAGUACAUCUCUAUCUACUAAUACAUAGGUCUGUCACUUUGCUUCUCUUGCAACACCAAUGCUUACACCUUCCACUGCAUGUAACAUUCAGAUUACCCUUGCGAUAUUUAAUUUGUAAAACAAAACUAACAUAUAUUCCUUCUAUACCCAAUUGCAAUUACCAGUAGCAAGCAGUUUACAUCCCACAUCAAGCGCAAUCACAAAACUGAACUUAAAGCCCCGAGAUGAAUGAAUCCAUAAGUACAAAUAUUCAAGCGGCGAAUUUUCUUUCCAGAAAAGAAAGAGAUGUUAAUCAGCGGUAAUUUUUGUAAGUGGCAAUUUUUGAAGGGGAGCAUUGGCGCAGCGGCAAAGCUUUGCCUUGUAACAAUGAGGCGACGGGUUCGAGUCCGGGAACCAGCCUCUUGCGGAAAUGUAGGGAAAGGCUCUGUAGAAAAGACCCAAAGUGGUCGGACCAUUCCCCGGACCUGGCGCAAGCGGGAGCUACGUGCACCGGGAUGCCCAUUUUCUAAAAGGAAGACGGUUAUGUAAACAUUUAAAAUUUUGCUUCCAAGUUCUAAGUUUCUAACUCAUGCUAUCUUAAGUGAAUCCAUCCAGCACAUAUUUCAAUUCUGAAAAUAUAACUACACCUGACUGCCAGGAAGAACUUUCUUGGAUCCAGGUUUGUGCAGUUCACGCCCUGCCUCAUAUGAGGGCAGCGGAUCGAUAAGUGGACAGCCCAAUGUGUCAUGCUGCAAACACACGAGAUUUCAUGGAGAAAUCCAACUGUUUUUUUUACCUCUGCAUCACCCAUAACUCGAAGAGAUCCACAUUAAUAGCAGAUGUGAAAACAAAAAUCACAGGCCAAGUAGUCCUGGGAAAACAGGAACUUGUUCAUAAAUGUUCAACUCUAAUAUACCACAAUGGAACAUGGCACCAUAAGAGAGAAAGUUUCCAUGUUCUCUGAGUUCUACUCAACUCGAGAUACCUGAAAGCUUAACAAAAAAACUCGUUUUCUUCGCGUAUAAGUUAUAACAGAACAAUGCAACUGAAAACUAGGUGUACGCUCUGCAUCAUCUCUUAAAGAUCCAAGAGUAUAUAGGCUACAAUGACAAGUCUUUCUGUAGUUUACCAUUCUGCAUAAAAGAACUAAUAAAUGCAUCAUACAUGGACAGUAAGACACUGAAUGUGUGAAAUCAUAAUCAUACAUGAGAACAACCUUCCUUCAGUACACUUCAAAUCCAUACUUUCCUAGGACAACAUAGCAAAGCAUAGAGUACUGAACCAAUAUAGCAGGUGUUCAGUUGUGCUCACCUUUCAUGAUCCCCAGGACAAUAAGACCACAGAAGAACAUGCAAGGUGAAACAACCUUCGUCAACUCAAUUUGGUGAUAGCUGACAAAAGAACAGGAGGAGUCCAUGCACAAGAUUAGUCCAUAUACUGGGUGGUGUACCAGAUAUGGCAGAUGAGAUGAAUACACCUGCAAAUAAGGUGGGGACAUAAGGUAUGAGCUUACUGAAAUAAUAAUGCUGCAAACAACAAGUAUAAAAAAUUGCUUUACAUAAAAGUUCAGCACUACAGGCAAAACAAUGCUUAGAAAUCUAGAGAAUGCUGACCUUAAUUUAAACACAAAUCUAUCAAGAUAAUCAAGAAAUAAAGAUGAACCAAUGUGACAGAUCGAGUGACAUGUAUCUGAGAAUAAAAGGAUUGUUAUUCAAAUAAUAAAAGUACGGCCACUAAACCUGCCACGAUAUCCAUCACAUACAUACCACAAACUGUACAAACAUAAGCAUACUACUUUCAUCUACUCCCUCCGUUCCAAAAUAUAAGACCUUUUAGAGAUUUCACUAUGGACUACGUACGGAGCAAAAUGAGUGAAUCUACACUCUAAAAUAUGUCCAUAUACAUCCGUAUGUAGUCUACAGUGAAAUCUCUAAAAGGUCUUAUAUUUUGGAACGGAGGAAGUAGGAGCUAAUGUAAUAGAGAAAGACAGAUAAAUACAAUAGUUGGCAUGUUGGAGUUCAUGGAAUCGAGAGUGUAACUACAUUGAACCCAGGGAUAGCGACACAUUCAGUAGCUGACAAACAGGAGCAGAAAAAUCAAGAGACAAAUGAAAUCAGGCUAGAAAAAGAAUAUUUUCAGUGAAGCUAGUUUACCUAAGAGGGUUUCUUAAACUGGUGACAUUCCCUUUAUGAAUUAUUUAGCAUUACUUGUGGUCAUCACUAGAAUGAAGCAAGAACAGAUGCUGCCAAUCACCCUGGUGCAUCAGCUGCAGAAAACCCGAAUCUAGAUACCUGUAUUGAACACCAUAUGCACUUCCUGACUCAUGGCACGUUUUCAGGAAGAAGACCACCAUCAUAGCUAAGCUGAGCUAAGCUUACUCACGGUGACAGUAAACCGAACAUGCUGCAGUCCAGGCACGAAAGAAAUGAACAUCAGGAGAUGCAAAAUAAAAUAUGAAACUUGUACGUUGCAAAGCCGAAAUGGUGAUGGGUGGAUGCAUCCUUGCAUCAUAUUUGAUGAAGAUGUCCAAGCAAAAUAACUCAGCAACCGUCUUUGUCUCAAGAUUAAUCUGGGCACCAAUUUCAGUAGCAUUUGCUUCAGAAAAGAGAUGGUCUCAGCCAUAGUGACUCUAUCCUGUAGUCCAGAGCAGAACCCAAAUCAAAUUAGCUGCUUAAGGCAUUGAAAGAUGAAAGCAGGUCAAUCUAUGGGCAGCUGAACUGAAUUAAGAGCUGUGUACUUUACAUAUCCAUUUAUAGUUUUAUAAUCAUUAAUACUCUGAAAGGAAUAAUCCCUAGCAAAAGACUAGAAAGAUCCAAAAGCAAGUGAGUAACUGUUAUUACGAGCAUUACUCUAUUCUCAACAAUAGUGAUCACCGAGAAGCAAGAAUACUGGACAAGAAUUACUGCCAUUUUGGUCCUGUGUUACCCAGACCCAAGCAUUGAAUGCACAUGUCAAUAUCUGCAAAGCAGUAAACAGCAACAGAGAAUAGACUAACUUAACUGCUCAUUGAUGCCAAAACUAGUAGUAACAAAUUUGAAGAUCCAUGGCAAGCAUCAGAAAGCGAGCAUCUGGAAGGAAAAUCAAUCAGCAAGGCAGUGUCUUGGUGUUAGGAGGGGGCUGCAGAUUCAGGUUUUCCCUUCAAAGGAUGCAGUAGGAGUAGUAUACACUAUACCUUGGUUCGCUAGGUUGUCGUUACCAUGGGUUUGGUGGAGAGCGCGUUGGGUACUACUAGCAUGUGAUCUUGGUCUCGAGCGCAUGGCCCAAGAAGGUUGGUGGUCUCCUCUUCGUCUUUCCUCGCCCUCUCUUCCUCCCCUUCCCAUUCCUCCUCAUCUUCCUCUUCCUUCCUGCAGGCAGCGAUGGCAGCUCGAAGGGGCGAGCCUGAGAGGAAGACAGGGGCAAGAAGAUGUAGGGGAGGAGGGCUCGGCCGCCGUGCCCGACGAAGAUGGCCACCACCGACGGAGGCAGCGGGUCCCGGACCGCCGCCCCACGAGACGAGACGAAGAGGGCCGGGAACGGAGGAGGCAGAUCCCUGCUGGUCCGCGGAGCCCGGAGCGCAGUUUGCCGCGCUGAAUAGGGGCGGCCGGGCGGCGGGCGGGGAGGUGGCGAGCGCCGAGCGGCGGCGGUGGAGGUGGCGAGGAGGCGCAGAAGGUUCAGAGCGGAUCCGAUUCGCAAAAGAAUAAAAAAAAAUCAGUGCCGAUCCGACGGACGGGGUCAACCGCGAGCCGAUCCGACGGACGAGACGUGGUCGCGUGAUAGGCCACGCCCACGGGAG
RNAcentral lists this long non-coding RNA (5434 nucleotides) under Hordeum vulgare. RNAcentral's name for it is "long non-coding RNA (HVUL_LNC013701)". Lineage: Eukaryota; Viridiplantae; Streptophyta; Magnoliopsida; Poales; Poaceae. The record is from RNAcentral.